GGUGGUUCUCAGGUGAUGCACCCCCAAAUCGGGCUCCCUCCUCUCUGAUUCCGGGUGUGUCACUCGAGAACCAAA
Molecule: non-coding RNA, 75 nt
Organism: Myotis lucifugus (little brown bat)
Lineage: Eukaryota; Metazoa; Chordata; Mammalia; Chiroptera; Vespertilionidae
Source: Rfam